AUUGAACGCUGGCGGCAUGCCUUACACAUGCAAGACGAACGGCAGCACGGGAGCAAUCCUGGUGGCGAGUGGCGAACGGGUGAGUAAUAUAUCGGAACGUGCCCAGUCGUGGGGGAUAACGCAGCGAAAGCUGUGCUAAUACCGCAUACGAUCUCUGGAUGAAAGCGGGGGACUCGCAAGAGCCUCGCGCGAUUGGAGCGGCCGAUAUCAGAUUAGCUAGUUGGUGGGGUAAAAGCUCACCAAGGCGACGAUCUGUAGCUAGUCUGAGAGGACGACCAGCCACACUGGAACUGAGACACGGUCCAGACUCCUACGGGAGGCAGCAGUGGGGAAUUUUGGACAAUGGGCGCAAGCCUGAUCCAGCAAUGCCGCGUGCAGGAUGAAGGCCUUCGGGUUGUAAACUGCUUUUGUACGGAACGAAACGGCUCUUUCUAAUAAAGAGAGCUAAUGACGGUACCGUAAGAAUAAGCACCGGCUA
Molecule: ribosomal RNA, 478 nt
Filed under: uncultured bacterium
Lineage: Bacteria
Description: bacterial SSU rRNA
Rfam family: Bacterial small subunit ribosomal RNA
Source: RNAcentral